CUCGACAGGACUCACAUUCACACUGCUUGGUGCCAGCAGCUACUCGGAGCAGCAGGGGACGCGCUUAAAGGGGCAAUGACAAAGGUCUAUGAAGUUAAUUUCUAAACAAACUGGAGUACACCUUCAAUGAGACUUAAGUCCAUCUCAUGGUAUGAUGAGGCGCACAUCCACACUCUGUCACACCAGAGUAUUUUGGCAUCAAUAUUUACCUUAAAUAUGUCUUCUACAUGUCGUUGGAAAACCAGAGCAUGUGAUGAAAUCUGUUUGCUCUCCGAGAACUUAUGGAUUUACUCUGUCUUUAAUAUAAUUUUACAUGAACUUUUGGUGACAUAGAUCAAUGGACCAUCUAGCUCCAAUAUAGAGAAGGGGUGAGUUGCUGGGAAUUUGAUUGUGAGCUGAUUGGGGUUUGCUGUCAUGCUGCCUAUCUCAAUUCUUAUUUAUCUGGUUCAUCACACUGUCCUUUUGGUCUCACUGUGUCUGUCAGGCCUUGCUCAGUGGUCUACUGAAACAUUAGUAAUGUUUAACCCUACUGUAUAGGGUCACUUUUAACAGGGUGAUUUUAGGAGGGUGUUGUUGUUGCCUACUGUGACUUGUUUUUUGUUUUUUUUUUCUAACAUUGUUGAGUAUUGUUUUUGCUUAUUGAACUCAAAAAAUCUGGUCAUAAAGUAACUGAUGUAUACUAAAUAAUUUUAUGUAACAUAUUAAAUGUAGGAGGUUAAGCAAAGAGUGUAAGAUGCUAAACUAAAUGACCACCGUUACUUUACACUUGGUUAUUUAAUGCUAAAAUAUUAAUAACAAUAAUAAUAAAAUGUUAUUAAACCAUGAA
Polypterus senegalus (gray bichir) is the source of this 826-nucleotide long non-coding RNA. RefSeq lists it as uncharacterized. The transcript is spliced from 2 exons. The record is from RefSeq and is a predicted model, not a curated record. Lineage: Eukaryota; Metazoa; Chordata; Cladistia; Polypteriformes; Polypteridae.